This 211-nucleotide long non-coding RNA is filed under the name Solanum tuberosum (potato). Its description in RNAcentral is "long non-coding RNA (STUB_LNC005254)". Lineage: Eukaryota; Viridiplantae; Streptophyta; Magnoliopsida; Solanales; Solanaceae. The record is from RNAcentral.
UCACGCUCAAUGUUUUAAAUGAUAAAAUUAAAAUUUAAUUUAGAACAUGCUUCAAAAGGGACCCUCAAAGACUAAACUAUUAAUGUGCAAAUAAUUCGUAUAAAUACGAUGUUGUUAUUACUAUUAUUAUUAUAGAUGAGAUGUUUGACACGUACACAUCUAUCGAAUGUGAGUAAGUAUUCAUUACUAUGUACCAAGAAUUCUUUGUAUG